This is a long non-coding RNA of Oncorhynchus tshawytscha (Chinook salmon), 405 nucleotides long. Lineage: Eukaryota; Metazoa; Chordata; Actinopteri; Salmoniformes; Salmonidae. The record is from Ensembl.
AGUCCCAUCAGCCAACAUAAGGCUAGGUAGAAGGACACCACAGUCCCAACAGCCAACACAAGGCUAGGUAGAAGGACACCACAGUCCCAACAGCCAACAUAAGGCUAGGUAGAAGGACACCUCAGUUCCAUCAGCCAACAUAAGGCUAGGUAGAAGGACACCUCAGUCCCAUCAGCCAACAUAAGGCUAGGUAGAAGGACACCUCAGUCCCAACAGCCAACAUAAGGCUAGGUAGAAGGACACCUCAGUCCCAUCAGCCAACUCAAGGCUAGGUAGAAGGACACCUCAGUCCCAUCAGCCAACAUAAGGCUAGGUAGAAGGACACCUCAGUCCCAUCAGCCAACUCAAGGCUAGGUAGAAGGACACCUCAGUCCCAUCAGCCAACAUAAGGCUAGGUAGAAGGAC